UGGAUCAUGUGUUUAAUUCGAUGAUACGCGAAGACCUUACCGGGUCUUGACAUCCCUUGCAAAGCUAUAGAGAUAUAGUGGAGGUUAAUCAAGGAGACAGGUGGUGCAUGGUUGUCGUCAGCUCGUGUCGUGAGAUGUUGGGUUAAGUCCCGCAACGAGCGCAACCCUUAUUGCUAGUUACCAUCAUUAAGUUGGGGACUCUAGCGAGACUGCCAGUGAUAAACUGGAGGAAGGUGGGGAUGACGUCAAAUCAUCAUGCCCCUUAUGACCUGGGCUACAAACGUGAUACAAUGGCUGAAACAAAGGGCAGCGAAGCAGUGAUGUGGAGCGAAACCCAAAAAAGCAGUCUCAGUUCGGAUUGAAGUCUGCAACUCGACUUCAUGAAGUCGGAAUCGCUAGUAAUCGCGGAUCAGCACGCCCGCGGUCGAAUACGUUCCGGCCUU
Molecule: ribosomal RNA, 443 nt
Filed under: uncultured Acholeplasma sp.
Lineage: Bacteria; Bacillati; Mycoplasmatota; Mollicutes; Acholeplasmatales; Acholeplasmataceae
Description: bacterial SSU rRNA
Rfam family: Bacterial small subunit ribosomal RNA
Source: RNAcentral